RNAcentral lists this ribosomal RNA (301 nucleotides) under uncultured bacterium. RNAcentral's name for it is "partial 16S ribosomal RNA". It matches the Rfam family "Archaeal small subunit ribosomal RNA", at positions 459 to 760 of the family's 1478-position model. The record is from RNAcentral.
CAGCAGCCGCGGUAAAACCAGCACCUCGAGUGGUCAGGAGGUUUAUUGGGCCUAAAGCAUCCGUAGCCGGUUGCAUAAGUUUUCGGUUAAAUCUAUGCGCUUAACGUAUAGGCCGCCGAAAAUACUGUGCAGCUAGGGAGUGGGAGAGGUACACGGUACUCGAUAGGAAGGGGUAAAAUCCUUUGAUCUAUUGAUGACCACCUGUGGCGAAGGCGGUGUACCAGAACACGUUCGACGGUGAGGGAUGAAAGCUGGGGGAGCAAACCGGAUUAGAUACCCCUGUAGUCCCUGUCUCUUAUAC